This is a long non-coding RNA of Pristis pectinata (smalltooth sawfish), 629 nucleotides long. RefSeq lists it as uncharacterized. The transcript has 3 exons. NCBI's taxonomy places the organism in Eukaryota, Metazoa, Chordata, Chondrichthyes, Rhinopristiformes, Pristidae. The record is from RefSeq and is a predicted model, not a curated record.
UAACAACCACGCUAUUAGUCUGAAGUCACAAACGGCCGGUCAACGUGAGGGCGGCAGAUUUCGUUUCCGGACAGAUAUUGUCGAGCAAAAUCACGUUUACGACAGUCGGGUGGUUUGAAGCACCAAGAGUGACCGGGAUCAGGGCGGGUCUCCGGAGUCGGGCCUGAACUUUCGACCUUCAGAGGAGCUGGAACCAGAGCUGGCGUGCAGAAGGGUCACGGGGAAGGGAAUGAAGCUCUUCAGCUGUGAGCAGUGCACAACGCGGGACUAGAGAGAUUGGGGCACCGACUCCCGGGCAAGAUGGUGCAGCCUGUCCCCUUCACCAGGUUAUCUGCUGCCCCCGACCCUCCAUCAGCAGGAGUCACGGAGCCGGGGCUGAGAGAACGCCCGGUCCAGCCGGCUGCCCACCCACCCUGCCACCUCCCUCCCCCGCUACGCCCCACUCAGCCAGCCGGUCCCUUUUCACACGAAUGAACCUGUAGCAGGAGUGAGCUGCCAGUUCCCGCCACAGUUUACCUGGGUUGUGUCUUUCUCCGGUCUUUGGCAGGAAGUAACGGGCUUGCAAAUUGUGGAACAGGGGGUGGAUGCAAGUGGUUUCAGAAUAAAAUCAUUAUUUAAAAUGUUUAAAA